UAUCGACACCAGCAGCAGCGCCGGUCUAAUCGACAGCGGAAUACCAACUUCGUUUGCUUCUUCCUCUUUAGCAGCAGCAUCCGCAGGGCACCACCACUAUCAAGCGUCGCAAGUCGGCGGCGUGGACGGAGAAGGUCGGGGUCAUGGACACGUAACCGGACCCGGUGGAUCACAUUGCGUUGCCGUUUGUGCUCAAGGACGAACCGCUGCAGGUGGGUGCGUCGAAGGCACCAGGUUACUGUGGAACUGACGUAUCAUCGCCGAUCAGCUCCAAAGCAUCGAGCAGCACAACGACACGAAUAGCAGUGGCCACAUGCUGCGACACUUGCAACAGCAAUUUCAGCCCGGCCGAAUCCGUCGUCAAAUGGGUAGAACGUCAUCAAAUCUCCAUAGCAGGUCCCCCGCCGAGCGGGCUAGCCAAUCAUCAACACAUCGUCCAGAUCUGAGAAAUUGGACCGGCCAGAUCCGUAGACUACGGUAGUUUGAUGAACUCGCGCGAUCAUCCACCACCGUUGGAAGAAAGUUUGAGGCCACAUGCCUCAAUGUUAGACGCGUAGGCAUCUCAGAUCUGCUCGGAUCUGCUUCAGUCAUCCUACCAAAGCCACAUGAAACAGGCCGCGGGAAGCAAUCUAAGCAACAUUUCACCAACCCAAAACAUCGUCCUUUUCGGCAAUUCCACCUUCGCAGAACCAUCAAUCGGCAAACUGUCGAACCAUGUCCCGGACCGAUCGGAAAGUACCAGAACCAUUCACCAAACGGAUGGGGCCCUGGAAUGCCACCCUGCCUGGGAAGCAACCAGCAGUCACAUGCAAUCGCGGCGGAGGAAUUGGCAGCAACCGACCAGCACUACCAAUCGCGUGAAAAAAGGAGUACGAUGGGAUUUUAUUUAUUAUAAUACGUUCUUCGACAAAAAAUCAAGAAUACAAGAGAAUUAGUGCAAUUUGUUAAAUUAAACAUCCUUGAUCAUAA
Molecule: long non-coding RNA, 969 nt
Organism: Culex pipiens pallens (northern house mosquito)
Lineage: Eukaryota; Metazoa; Arthropoda; Insecta; Diptera; Culicidae
Exons: 2
Source: RefSeq, a predicted model, not a curated record